Molecule: microRNA precursor, 63 nt
Filed under: Mus pahari (shrew mouse)
Lineage: Eukaryota; Metazoa; Chordata; Mammalia; Rodentia; Muridae
Description: microRNA 292b (MGP_PahariEiJ_G0007069.1)
Source: RNAcentral
ACUCAAAACCUGGCGGCACUUUUCUUCCAAAAGAAAAUCCAAAAGAGCCCCCAGUUUGAGUAU